AUUGAACGCUGGCGGCAUGCCUUACACAUGCAAGUCGAACGGCAGCGCGGGCUUCGGCCUGGCGGCGAGUGGCGAACGGGUGAGUAAUGCAUCGGAACGUGCCCAGUAGUGGGGGAUAGCCCAGCGAAAGCCGGAUUAAUACCGCAUACGACCUGAGGGUGAAAGCGGGGGACCGAAAGGCCUCGCGCUAUUGGAGCGGCCGAUGUCGGAUUAGCUAGUUGGUGGGGUAAAGGCUUACCAAGGCGACGAUCCGUAGCUGGUCUGAGAGGACGACCAGCCACACUGGGACUGAGACACGGCCCAGACUCCUACGGGAGGCAGCAGUGGGGAAUUUUGGACAAUGGGGGCAACCCUGAUCCAGCCAUGCCGCGUGCGGGAAGAAGGCCUUCGGGUUGUAAACCGCUUUUGUUCGGGAAGAAAUCCUUUGGGCUAAUACCCCGGGGGGAUGACGGUACCGGAAGAAUAAGCACCGGCUAACUACGUG
RNAcentral lists this ribosomal RNA (484 nucleotides) under uncultured bacterium. RNAcentral's name for it is "partial 16S ribosomal RNA". It matches the Rfam family "Bacterial small subunit ribosomal RNA", at positions 29 to 507 of the family's 1533-position model. The record is from RNAcentral.